RNAcentral lists this transfer RNA (89 nucleotides) under Persephonella sp. Its description in RNAcentral is "tRNA-Ser". It matches the Rfam family "tRNA". Rfam says of the family: Transfer RNA (tRNA) molecules are approximately 80 nucleotides in length. Their secondary structure includes four short double-helical elements and three loops (D, anti-codon, and T loops). Further hydrogen bonds mediate the characteristic L-shaped molecular structure. tRNAs have two regions of fundamental functional importance: the anti-codon, which is responsible for specific mRNA codon recognition, and the 3' end, to which the tRNAs corresponding amino acid is attached (by aminoacyl-tRNA synthetases). tRNAs cope with the degeneracy of the genetic code in two manners: having more than one tRNA (with a specific anti-codon) for a particular amino acid; and 'wobble' base-pairing, i.e. permitting non-standard base-pairing at the 3rd anti-codon position. Lineage: Bacteria; Pseudomonadati; Aquificota; Aquificia; Aquificales; Hydrogenothermaceae. The record is from RNAcentral.
GGAGAGGUGGCCGAGCGGUCGAAGGCGGCUCCCUGCUAAGGAGUUGAGCGGUUUACCCCGCUCCGAGGGUUCGAAUCCCUCCCUCUCCG